UACGUAGGUGGCAAGCGUUAUCCGGAUUUAUUGGGCGUGAAGGGUGCGCAGGCGGUCUGUUAAGUUUGAGGUGAAAUCGUUGAGCUCAACUCAAUCAAGCCUCGAAUACUGGCAGACUUGAGUGCAGGAGAGGGUAUUGGAAUUCCAUGUGUAGCGGUAAAAUGCAUAGAUAUAUGGAGGAACACCGGUGGCGAAGGCGGAUACCUGGCCUGUAACUGACGCUCAGGCACGAAAGCGUGGGGAGCAAAUA
This 250-nucleotide ribosomal RNA is filed under the name uncultured prokaryote. Its description in RNAcentral is "partial 16S ribosomal RNA". It matches the Rfam family "Bacterial small subunit ribosomal RNA", at positions 524 to 774 of the family's 1533-position model. The record is from RNAcentral.